Molecule: long non-coding RNA, 319 nt
Filed under: Androctonus crassicauda
Lineage: Eukaryota; Metazoa; Arthropoda; Arachnida; Scorpiones; Buthidae
Source: RNAcentral
AAAAGUCAGCGUUUUAUUUUUAUUUUAAGAGGGCUGUUAAUUACAGUACGAACUAGAGGGACCUAGACGCAAAGCUCAAGUAUAUUUAUGGCGUUGGCAAGUUAUACGGUUAUAGUAAGGGCUUCCUGGAUACAUUGUAUUCUAGAGUCCAGAGAAGGACCCCUGCGCAAGUGGCUGAAGUGCCUGAACGUGCGGAGUAUGAGCCCAUACCAUAUGCCAUGUCCAAUUAUAGAACAGUCAAGAAGCUUGCUAAAAAAAGGAAGCAAGAAAGUAGCUUACAGGAGAUAUCCUUCUGUGUUUAAUUCGCUUAGGAACGAGG